This 497-nucleotide ribosomal RNA is filed under the name uncultured bacterium. RNAcentral's name for it is "partial 16S ribosomal RNA". It matches the Rfam family "Bacterial small subunit ribosomal RNA", at positions 28 to 523 of the family's 1533-position model. The record is from RNAcentral.
GAUGAACGCUGGCGGCGUGCUUAACACAUUCAAGUCGAACGAAGCAUUUGCGACAGAUUUCUUCGGAUUGAAGUUGCUUAUGACUGAGUGGCGGACGGGUGAGUAACGCGUGGGUAACCUGCCUCAUACAGGGGGAUAGCAGCUGGAAACGGCUGGUAAUACCGCAUAAGCGCACAGUACCACAUGGUACAGUGUGAAAAACUACGGUGGUAUGGGAUGGACCCGCGUCUGAUUAGCUAGUUGGUGAGGUAACGGCCCACCAAGGCGACGAUCAGUAGCCGACCUGAGAGGGUGACCGGCCACAUUGGGACUGAGACACGGCCCAGACUCCUACGGGAGGCAGCAGUGGGGAAUAUUGCACAAUGGAGGAAACUCUGAUGCAGCGACGCCGCGUGAGUGAAGAAGUAGUUCGCUAUGUAAAGCUCUAUCAGCAGGGAAGAUAGUGACGGUACCUGACUAAGAAGCUCCGGCUAAAUACGUGCCAGCCGCCGCAGUAA